This 916-nucleotide ribosomal RNA is filed under the name Rhodotorula mucilaginosa. Its description in RNAcentral is "LSU rRNA". It matches the Rfam family "Eukaryotic large subunit ribosomal RNA", at positions 27 to 964 of the family's 3401-position model. Lineage: Eukaryota; Fungi; Basidiomycota; Microbotryomycetes; Sporidiobolales; Sporidiobolaceae. The record is from RNAcentral.
ACUGAACUUAAGCAUAUCAAUAAGCGGAGGAAAAGAAACUAACAAGGAUUCCCCUAGUAGCGGCGAGCGAAGCGGGAAGAGCUCAAAUUUAUAAUCUGGCACCUUCGGUGUCCGAGUUGUAAUCUCUAGAAAUGUUUUCCGCGUUGGACCGCACACAAGUCUGUUGGAAUACAGCGGCAUAGUGGUGAGACCCCCGUAUAUGGUGCGGACGCCCAGCGCUUUGUGAUACAUUUUCGAAGAGUCGAGUUGUUUGGGAAUGCAGCUCAAAUUGGGUGGUAAAUUCCAUCUAAAGCUAAAUAUUGGCGAGAGACCGAUAGCGAACAAGUACCGUGAGGGAAAGAUGAAAAGCACUUUGGAAAGAGAGUUAACAGUACGUGAAAUUGUUGGAAGGGAAACGCUUGAAGUCAGACUUGCUUGCCGAGCAAUCGGUUUGCAGGCCAGCAUCAGUUUUCCGGGAUGGAUAAUGGUAGAGAGAAGGUAGCAGUUUCGGCUGUGUUAUAGCUCUCUGCUGGAUACAUCUUGGGGGACUGAGGAACGCAGUGUGCCUUUGGCGGGGGUUUCGACCUCUUCACACUUAGGAUGCUGGUGGAAUGGCUUUAAACGACCCGUCUUGAAACACGGACCAAGGAGUCUAACAUGCUUGCGAGUAUUUGGGUGUCAAACCCGGAUGCGUAAUGAAAGUGAAUGGAGGUGGGAACCGCAAGGUGCACCAUCGACCGAUCUGGAUUUUUAAUGAUGGAUUUGAGUAAGAGCACGUAUGUUGGGACCCGAAAGAUGGUGAACUAUGCCUGAAUAGGGCGAAGCCAGAGGAAACUCUGGUGGAGGCUCGUAGCGGUUCUGACGUGCAAAUCGAUCGUCAAAUUUGGGUAUAGGGGCGAAAGACUAAUCGAACCAUCUAGUAGCUGGUUCCUGCCGA